RNAcentral lists this ribosomal RNA (1462 nucleotides) under uncultured bacterium. RNAcentral describes it as "bacterial SSU rRNA". It matches the Rfam family "Bacterial small subunit ribosomal RNA". The record is from RNAcentral.
AUUGAACGCUGGCGGCAGGCCUAACACAUGCAAGUCGAGCGGUAGCACAGAGAGCUUGCUCUCGGGUGACGAGCGGCGGACGGGUGAGUAAUGUCUGGGAAACUGCCUGAUGGAGGGGGAUAACUACUGGAAACGGUAGCUAAUACCGCAUAACGUCGCAAGACCAAAGUGGGGGACCUUCGGGCCUCAUGCCAUCAGAUGUGCCCAGAUGGGAUUAGCUAGUAGGUGGGGUAACGGCUCACCUAGGCGACGAUCCCUAGCUGGUCUGAGAGGAUGACCAGCCACACUGGAACUGAGACACGGUCCAGACUCCUACGGGAGGCAGCAGUGGGGAAUAUUGCACAAUGGGCGCAAGCCUGAUGCAGCCAUGCCGCGUGUGUGAAGAAGGCCUUCGGGUUGUAAAGCACUUUCAGCGGGGAGGAAGGCGAUAAGGUUAAUAACCUUGUCGAUUGACGUUACCCGCAGAAGAAGCACCGGCUAACUCCGUGCCAGCAGCCGCGGUAAUACGGAGGGUGCAAGCGUUAAUCGGAAUUACUGGGCGUAAAGCGCACGCAGGCGGUCUGUCAAGUCGGAUGUGAAAUCCCCGGGCUCAACCUGGGAACUGCAUUCGAAACUGGCAGGCUAGAGUCUUGUAGAGGGGGGUAGAAUUCCAGGUGUAGCGGUGAAAUGCGUAGAGAUCUGGAGGAAUACCGGUGGCGAAGGCGGCCCCCUGGACAAAGACUGACGCUCAGGUGCGAAAGCGUGGGGAGCAAACAGGAUUAGAUACCCUGGUAGUCCACGCCGUAAACGAUGUCGAUUUGGAGGUUGUGCCCUUGAGGCGUGGCUUCCGGAGCUAACGCGUUAAGUCGACCGCCUGGGGAGUACGGCCGCAAGGUUAAAACUCAAAUGAAUUGACGGGGGCCCGCACAAGCGGUGGAGCAUGUGGUUUAAUUCGAUGCAACGCGAAGAACCUUACCUGGUCUUGACAUCCACAGAACUUAGCAGAGAUGCUUUGGUGCCUUCGGGAACUGUGAGACAGGUGCUGCAUGGCUGUCGUCAGCUCGUGUUGUGAAAUGUUGGGUUAAGUCCCGCAACGAGCGCAACCCUUAUCCUUUGUUGCCAGCGAUUCGGUCGGGAACUCAAAGGAGACUGCCAGUGAUAAACUGGAGGAAGGUGGGGAUGACGUCAAGUCAUCAUGGCCCUUACGACCAGGGCUACACACGUGCUACAAUGGCAUAUACAAAGAGAAGCGACCUCGCGAGAGCAAGCGGACCUCAUAAAGUAUGUCGUAGUCCGGAUUGGAGUCUGCAACUCGACUCCAUGAAGUCGGAAUCGCUAGUAAUCGUAGAUCAGAAUGCUACGGUGAAUACGUUCCCGGGCCUUGUACACACCGCCCGUCACACCAUGGGAGUGGGUUGCAAAAGAAGUAGGUAGCUUAACCUUCGGGAGGGCGCUUACCACUUUGUGAUUCAUGACUGGGGUG